ACGAACGCUGGCGGCGUGCUUAACACAUGCAAGUCGAACGGGCCUGUCUUCUUUUUUGGGGGUGGGUUGAGUGGCGAACGGGUGAGUAUCACGUGAGUAACCUGCCCUUCGGUCCUGGAUAACCGCUUGAAAGGGCGGCUAAUACGGGGUGGUCCGGUUGGUCCGCAUGGGCUGGUCGGGAUAGAUUCACUGUUUUUGGUGUUUCGGCGGGGGAUGGGCUCGCGGCCUAUCAGCUUGUUGGUGGGGUGAUGGCCUACCAAGGCGGUGACGGGUAGCCGGCAUGAGAGGGUGGGCGGCCACACUGGGACUGAGAUACGGCCCAGACUCCUGCGGGAGGCAGCAGUGGGGGGUAUUGCACAAUGGGCGGAAGCCUGAUGCAGCGACGUCGCGUGAGGGAUGGAGGCCUUCGGGUUGUGAACCUCUGUUUCCGGUGGUGAAGGCCCUGUCCGUGUGGUGGGGUUGACGGUAGCCGGGGAUGAAGCGCCGGCUAACUACGUG
Molecule: ribosomal RNA, 498 nt
Filed under: uncultured bacterium
Lineage: Bacteria
Description: partial 16S ribosomal RNA
Rfam family: Bacterial small subunit ribosomal RNA
Source: RNAcentral